GAAGGAGCGGAGGUGCUUCAGCGGCAUCAUGGAUGUGGCCGUCGCCAAGUUCCCCCCGACCUUGACAAGAGGAAAGAAAUCAGCCACGGACACCCCUGCAGACGGACCUCGGUUAAGCCUUCCUCAGUUAUCCUAAUCCAACACAUCGCCUGUUGCUGCGAGAACCCCAACUGGUGUGGGAAGGAACCCUGGCUGAGAAGAGAGAUGGAAACCCACAAAGGCACGGAGGUGUAACCUGAGAGGAGACGGGAAAGAGGCACACUCCCUGCUGGCCUUUCAAGCUGGUGACAUUACAGGCGACCUCACCGCGAGGGCUUCAGAGAUGCCAGAACCUGUGUUUCCAGUUUGCCCAAGGCAGUCCAUUUGCCAGGUUUGCCCACGGCUGUGUUGGCAAGGGUUGCUCCGAGCCCUCAACGGAUGGAAAAGUAGACGGAGAAGAAAGAACAAAGGUCAGGACCUCAGAAACCCAGGUAACCACUUGAGUACCAGAGCGUGGCCGUCCUCAAGCUCGUUGCAAGAAGUCGACAUGUGUAGGCGGAACGUUUAGGAUUCGGAACAACAAUCCCUUUGUCUCUCCGAUUCUUACUCUAACCCGUGGUGGCCAAAAGCAGCAAUUUUGAGAAGUUAGCAUUGGCAGGCUUGGUGCAGCCCGGAGCACAGCACACAGGAUGAAUUCCAGCUCCACCUACUGCACAGGUGGACCGGGAGGAGGUGGGUCGCUUGCGCACACUCUCUGAACCAGGAUUGUUCCACUACAAAAAAACAGCGACCUGGGCCUGCCUCGAUUGCAGAACUGUAAAGACCAGCGCUGAUCAGGCCGCGGCACAUGACGCGCUCUGAUACUCCUGGCACGUGACGAUGUCCGGCCUCCACACCAGGUCGCUGGGAAUCCUGAUGGAGUCCAGCCCAUCAUACUGCUCCCGAUCCCAUGUGAGGUAGGCAUCGUGCCAGAUCUGGCGGAUCCACAGGUAAGCGGUCAGAAUCUGGUUUCUUUCGUCCUGCACAAUGAAUCAGAUGUCACUCUCUCCAGAAGGCACUUGGGCCAUCGCCUUCCAUCUCCAGGACCCUGGUUCUCCACGACAGGAAUCUCAAGAGCUCUCAUCUAUUUUCCAUUAAUAAGUGAGAGCUCUUUUAUUCCAUUCCCUUGAUCAACUACUAAAGCCACAUUUUUUUCCCUUCCUUGAUUUAGUGUUUAGAAGGUAAAGUGAACAAAUACUGAAGUCUUCAGAUCUUUGCGUAGGUCAGCUGCUUAGUUUUCUCUGAAAAUGGCUCAACUAAUGACACUUGCAUGAGGAAGUGAGGAAAUAUCUUCCGUGUUCAGAUGAGAAGCCCCUCAAGUCUCAGAACUUUGUGUGAUAAAACAUAUAUAUGCACUAAACAAGCUAUUCCAACUUAAAAUAUUUUUCUUUCUUAAACUGAGACUGAAUUCAUACAACAUAAAUAUUACCAUUUUAACCAUUUUGGAAGUGGACCAUUCAGUGGUUUCCAAUACAUUCACCAUCAUCACCACUGUCUAAUUCAAGAACAUUUUCGUUGCCAUGUUGUGUUUUUUUAUCUAGAUGUUCCCUUGUUAAAGUCUCAUGGGACUGUAGUGGGACCCUCAGAAGAGGACUGGAUUAUGGGGGCUUACAGCUGACUCGCUAUUAGGAAACAGGGCCUGGUUGGAAGAAGGGGUCACCUCCGGGGUGGCAGGAAGUUGCAUCUCCCUUCCCAGCUCCUCCCUUGAUCUUGUUUCCUGGCUGCCGGGGUGUGGGAGCUCCUCCUCCGCUAUGCCGCCUGCCAUGCAGCUCUGCAUGCAGCCAGCUGACCACGGACUGUAACCGUGAGCCAAAGCAAACCUCCUCCCUUAAGUCAUGGUGGCAGGCAUUGCAUGUCAGCAACAGAGAAAGUGACUGAGACAGCUCCCCAGAGGGAACCCUCGCCAUUAAGGAGUCACGGCCCCUGUCCUGCUUCCUCCUCUGGCAACCACUACCCUGCCUUCUGCCUCAAUGGACUGACCUGUUUUGGACAUUUCCUGUAACUGGACCAUACAGUAUGUAACACCGCCUUGCUUUAGAGUAUCUGAGACUACUAUAGCGUCUGACCAGAACUAGAGGUCACUGUAACAUUAGGGAACAUUAUGUAACACAUAACGCGAUUCUGUGGAAAGCGUCCUUCCCCUGGAUUCCUUUUGCCCGCCAGCUUGUACACAGAGCUGCCUGCUUCACCCUUCUCAGGUUCCCGCUCAGGCUAUCCCCUUCAGGAAGCAUGCUUGUGUCAUUCCAGGAUUCUUUUCAAGAAGUCCCCACUCUGUUACUUACCAUAUCCUUAAUCUGAGACAGUGUGAUCUGCAGUGUGACAUUCAGGACUUUAUCUGUGUCUUCAACUGGACGAAGAGCAUUGGAAUAAUCUUCAAAAAGGUCAUUAAACAAGUUCUGAGCGUAUUUUCCAUUUGCCGUUUCUACAGCUACUCAAAAAGAGAGACACAGAUCAAUAUUCGGAGGACUAUAUGUAUUUCAAGCAAAGAACAUCAGUUUGAGGUCAAGAAUAGCAGAUGGCCCAGCUAGACCAGGGACAUGUUUUGGAUGGGGGGGAUGAGGCAUUUUCCUGGCAGGUGCUAUGCAUGUCAGCAAGAAUCAGGCCAAUGUACGAGAUCAGCUCUUCUGUCUUUUCUGGCCUGCCCCACUUCCCACCGAAGAAAUGGUCCCACCCACCACCAACCUCUCACCUCUCAGUCUGGAAGCAGCAAAAUAAAUCCAGCAAAAUGAGAGGCAGGCAUAGGGCCAAUUCAUUUUUCUCCUGAGCCUCUAGGAUGUCACAGCCAGGCAGCGUGGGCUUCUCUGUGAAUGGGAAGGGUCCUGGUGCAACAGCCUGUGCUGCGCGGUCUCCCCUGGGCAGGUGGAGUAAACAGGCUUGCACUGUAUGCAGGACACAGAGCCUGACAUCCAGACCCAACUGCCUUCCCCUCCGUAAUCUGAGACCAGCAGCUCCAAUGACUGAGAUGCCCAGCGCCGAAGAUCUGAAUUUCUAUUUACCAUGCCAAUUGGGGUUUUCCAGCUCUUUAAAAAAUGGUCCAAAGGCCAGCCAAAUCAGCAGAAU
Chinchilla lanigera (long-tailed chinchilla) is the source of this 3078-nucleotide long non-coding RNA. RefSeq lists it as uncharacterized. Lineage: Eukaryota; Metazoa; Chordata; Mammalia; Rodentia; Chinchillidae. The record is from RefSeq and is a predicted model, not a curated record. The transcript has 6 exons.